RNAcentral lists this ribosomal RNA (381 nucleotides) under uncultured bacterium. Its description in RNAcentral is "bacterial SSU rRNA". It matches the Rfam family "Bacterial small subunit ribosomal RNA", at positions 30 to 410 of the family's 1533-position model. The record is from RNAcentral.
AUUGAACGCUGGCGGCGUGCCUAACACAUGCAAGUCGAGCGGUAACAGGUGUAGCAAUACAUGCUGACGAGCGGCGAACGGGUGAGUAAUGCUUUGGAAUCUUCCCAGUAGUGGGGAAUAACCAGUCGAAAGAUUGGCUAAUACCGCAUACGUCUGUAAAGGGAAAGCGGGGGCUCGCAAGACCUCGCGCUAUUGGAUGAGCCAAAGUCGGAUUAGCUAGUUGGGGGGUAAUGGCCUACCAAGGCGACGAUCCGUAGCUGGUCUGAGAGGACGACCAGCCACACCGGAACUGAGACACGGUCCGGACUCCCACGGGAGGCAGCAGUGGGGAAUAUUGGACAAUGGGGGAAACCCUGAUCCAGCGACGCCGCGUGUGUGAAG